RNA transcript from Helicoverpa zea (corn earworm), 1001 nucleotides. It is a transcript of the gene named acanthoscurrin-2-like, with no coding region annotated. The record is from RefSeq and is a predicted model, not a curated record. Lineage: Eukaryota; Metazoa; Arthropoda; Insecta; Lepidoptera; Noctuidae. The transcript is spliced from 5 exons.
GGGCGACAUACCUUAGCUACAGAUAAUAUAUGAUCUGCUACGCGUGUGUAGCUUCGCCGACCUAUAAAAGUCAUAGGCAGGACAUCAUCGCACAGUAGAUCAGUGAUCAGUGUUAGUGCUGGACGGUGAUAUUUGAACAGAAAAAAAACAAAGAUGAAAUUGUGCACAUUAGUCUUCGGCGUGUUGGUGGCAUGCGUGGCCAGCAUGGCUGCGGAGACAGGUCCUCUGCUAGCUGCCCUCCAGCCAGUGGAACAGCCUGAGGUCAGGGAAGUCAUGGUGGUCGACGAGCAGGGCAACAGGCAAAAGAGGAGUCUGCUUCUUGGUGCCGGUGUCCUUGGCGCAGGUGCUCUCGGUCUCGGAGCUGUUGGUCUGGCCGGCGCUGGUCUGGUCGGCGCUGGUUUGAUCGGCGCUAAGGCUGGUUUCAUUGGAGGUGCCCUCGCAGGAGGCGCCCUCUCCCACGGCAGGAGCUACGGAGGCGGCUACGGUUACGGUGGUGGCUACGGAGGCGGCUACGGAGGCGGCUACUACAGUGGUGGCUACGGAGGUGGUUACGGAGGCGGCUACGGACACGGUGGUUACAGGCGUUAUUAUCAUUAACACAAUAAUACUUAUAUAAACCAAUUUUAUUACUUUUAAAAUUACAUCAACUUGUCCUCUUCCAAAUUCCACUACACAAUAAUAUUGAUAGCAAUUAACACAAACACCAUUCACCGAACGAAAAAUAUUUACAAGCAAUAAUUCACUGUUACAUAACACCGCGUAUUUAUUUAUUACAAUUCUGAUACAAAUCAUGGAUCAGUAAUUUGUGAAGACUAGUCAUUCGUGCAUCCCUUGUGCGCGAGACUCAGUGAGGACAGGGAGAGCAAGGAAAGUAUACCUUGUAGAAGCCGACCCCUGGUGCUGAUCCCAACGACUGACUAGAAGACCAAUAAUAUGGUUAUUAAGUGUAUGUGAUACUGAAUGGUGUGUAUGUAUUAAACAAUAAAAAAAAUACAAAAUAA